UAAGCAACCCAACACCCCACCCCAUUCCAUUCCCUUCUUAGCCACCUCUCUUGAUUUCACCAACCAUCACCAUUUCGUUUCUUUCCCUUUUUCCAAUGGGGUGGUUUCAAUCCCUCUUCUCUCCACUCAAGAAGCUAUGGGUUAAACUCCACUCAGCUCAUCAUAAGAGUAGAGGGAUCUACAUAUUGUACGAGGAUGUGAAGUCAUGUCCCUAUGAAGAUGUGCACGUACUUUGGUCUAUAUUGGUGGAAUCGACACAUGGUCCUUCUCACGCUUUAGCAUUACCUCCAUUAAACUGAUACAUUCUUCCUACAGAUGAUCCCCGAGCUUCUUGUCUUUGUACAUAAUCCCCCUCUUUUUUUGAUCAAAUCUUGUACCUGUUUCUGAGGUUUUUCAGGAAUUGUACUUUGCAACUUUAAGUUAUUAUGCCGACAUAACUUUUUUCA
This is a long non-coding RNA of Lactuca sativa (garden lettuce), 446 nucleotides long. RefSeq lists it as uncharacterized. Lineage: Eukaryota; Viridiplantae; Streptophyta; Magnoliopsida; Asterales; Asteraceae. The record is from RefSeq and is a predicted model, not a curated record.